UACGGAGGGUGCAAGCGUUAUCCGGAUUUACUGGGUUUAAAGGGUGCGUAGGUGGAUUAAUAAGUCAGUGGUGAAAUCCUACAGCUUAACUGUAGAACUGCCAUUGAUACUGUUAGUCUUGAGUGUAGUUGAAGUGGGCGGAAUGUGGCGUGUAGCGGUGAAAUGCUUAGAUAUGCCACAGAACACCGAUAGCGAAGGCAGCUUGCUAAACUACUACUGACACUGAGGCACGAAAGCGUGGGUAGCGAACAGG
RNAcentral lists this ribosomal RNA (253 nucleotides) under uncultured bacterium. RNAcentral's name for it is "partial 16S ribosomal RNA". It matches the Rfam family "Bacterial small subunit ribosomal RNA", at positions 524 to 776 of the family's 1533-position model. The record is from RNAcentral.